AAAUUGAAGAGUUUGAUCAUGGCUCAGAUUGAACGCUGGCGGCAGGCCUAACACAUGCAAGUCGAACGGUAACAGGAAGCAGCUUGCUGCUUCGCUGACGAGUGGCGGACGGGUGAGUAAUGUCUGGGAAACUGCCUGAUGGAGGGGGAUAACUACUGGAAACGGUGGCUAAUACCGCAUAACGUCGCAAGACCAAAGAGGGGGACCUUCGGGCCUCUUGCCAUCAGAUGUGCCCAGAUGGGAUUAGCUUGUUGGUGAGGUAACGGCUCACCAAGGCGACGAUCCCUAGCUGGUCUGAGAGGAUGACCAGCCACACUGGAACUGAGACACGGUCCAGACUCCUACGGGAGGCAGCAGUGGGGAAUAUUGCACAAUGGGCGCAAGCCUGAUGCAGCCAUGCCGCGUGUAUGAAGAAGGCCUUCGGGUUGUAAAGUACUUUCAGCGGGGAGGAAGGUGUUGUGGUUAAUAACCGCAGCAAUUGACGUUACCCGCAGAAGAAGCACCGGCUAACUCCGUGCCAGCAGCCGCGGUAAUACGGAGGGUGCAAGCGUUAAUCGGAAUUACUGGGCGUAAAGCGCACGCAGGCGGUCUGUCAAGUCGGAUGUGAAAUCCCCGGGCUCAACCUGGGAACUGCAUUCGAAACUGGCAGGCUUGAGUCUUGUAGAGGGGGGUAGAAUUCCAGGUGUAGCGGUGAAAUGCGUAGAGAUCUGGAGGAAUACCGGUGGCGAAGGCGGCCCCCUGGACAAAGACUGACGCUCAGGUGCGAAAGCGUGGGGAGCAAACAGGAUUAGAUACCCUGGUAGUCCACGCCGUAAACGAUGUCUACUUGGAGGUUGUGCCCUUGAGGCGUGGCUUCCGGAGCUAACGCGUUAAGUAGACCGCCUGGGGAGUACGGCCGCAAGGUUAAAACUCAAAUGAAUUGACGGGGGCCCGCACAAGCGGUGGAGCAUGUGGUUUAAUUCGAUGCAACGCGAAGAACCUUACCUGGUCUUGACAUCCACAGAAGAAUCCAGAGAUGGAUUUGUGCCUUCGGGAACUGUGAGACAGGUGCUGCAUGGCUGUCGUCAGCUCGUGUUGUGAAAUGUUGGGUUAAGUCCCGCAACGAGCGCAACCCUUAUCCUUUGUUGCCAGCGAUUAGGUCGGGAACUCAAAGGAGACUGCCAGUG
This 1166-nucleotide ribosomal RNA is filed under the name Salmonella enterica. Its description in RNAcentral is "bacterial SSU rRNA". It matches the Rfam family "Bacterial small subunit ribosomal RNA", at positions 1 to 1157 of the family's 1533-position model. The record is from RNAcentral. Lineage: Bacteria; Pseudomonadati; Pseudomonadota; Gammaproteobacteria; Enterobacterales; Enterobacteriaceae.